CCUUCAAGAUAAGGAGGUGGUUUCAGAAUCUUGACAACAAUCCAACCAAGAAUUCCUCCGAGUAAGAAUGUAAGUCCCAUAUUCACCGGCAUAAACCACCUUUUUUUUUUUAAUCAUCAACAAGAACCCAAAUUAAAAAUUAACAGUUUUAACAUUUUGUUAACAUGGUGUAGAAAAGGGUGUUUUUUUUACCAUGAGAUCAUGUCCUCAAGUGUGACUGUCUGAGCCAGAUUUGCAAACAUGAGAGCCGGUGCAAAUAGUACAAACACCACCUACAGUUUUUGGAGUUCAUUAUAAGAUAACACACGAAUUUUAAUUCUUUGAUAUGUUUUUUGCAGAGAUCGAAAUAUCGGGUCAAGAUAUUGGUUUUACCUUGUUCAUGGAAUUGCGAGCUUCGACAGGGAAGAGCUUGCAUCUAUCAGUGGCCAAGAAAGCUCCAACAACACUUAUGAAGAGAACUUGAAUCACUGGCAUAGAAGCCACC
Molecule: long non-coding RNA, 484 nt
Filed under: Brassica napus (rape)
Lineage: Eukaryota; Viridiplantae; Streptophyta; Magnoliopsida; Brassicales; Brassicaceae
Description: long non-coding RNA (BNAP_LNC019487)
Source: RNAcentral